UACAUGGGGUGCAAACGUUGCUCGGAAUUAUUGGGCGUAAAGCGCGCGUAGGCGGUUACUCAAGUCGGAUGUGAAAGCCCUCGGCUUAACUGAGGAAGUGCACCCGAAACUGAGUAGCUAGAGUACUAAAGAGGGUCGCGGAAUUCCCGGUGUAGAGGUGAAAUUCGUAGAUAUCGGGAGGAACACCGGUGGCGAAGGCGGCUCACUGGACCGGUACUGACGCUGAAGCGCGAAAGCGUGGGGAGCAAACGGG
RNAcentral lists this ribosomal RNA (253 nucleotides) under uncultured bacterium. RNAcentral's name for it is "partial 16S ribosomal RNA". It matches the Rfam family "Bacterial small subunit ribosomal RNA", at positions 524 to 776 of the family's 1533-position model. The record is from RNAcentral.